Molecule: long non-coding RNA, 2767 nt
Organism: Nothobranchius furzeri (turquoise killifish)
Lineage: Eukaryota; Metazoa; Chordata; Actinopteri; Cyprinodontiformes; Nothobranchiidae
Source: RefSeq, a predicted model, not a curated record
UAAAGAGGAUGCAUUUAUUCAAAGCCAAAAUUAAGAAUUUUUUUAUGUAAUAUAACAAAAAAUCUGUUAGACUGAUCUUUUAUAUUCACAAAUGGAACUAUUGUGAAAAUUUAUUAUAGUCUUUAACAUUACAGUCAGUGAGGCGUAAUUGGAAAUUUUUUUUGCUGAUGCGUAUAUUUGUCUUAGUCCACACCAGAAAAUGUCUCUUCCAAUGUAAGGAGAAAUCAAUAAUAUGUUAGUGUGUUUUCACAUGAUAUGCUUCCAUUUAUUGGUGCAGAUUCACCGUACUGAACUCCAAAUGCCAUACCGCCUUCGUGUUGAAUGCUCAAGCUUGACUACUCAGAGGCAGACCUCUGACAGCUAAUCAGAUGCCAGGUUGAGACAGCCUUGUCAGUGAGCUAAUAGAGUGUUCUGAGGUUAAUUUACAACCAUAUGAAUUCCAUCAAUAAGCAAUUAAGAGAUGUGGAAACACAGAGGCACCAAGGCCAAUGCAGCUAAAUCCCCAUGCAACCCCCCACUUACUUUUAAUCAAUUAAUUGCUAUAGCAUGUCUGUUUAAAAGAAUUUGAUAGAUUUGCAGAUACAUUUUGCACUUUAACAAAGCACUGUUCUCCCGUGCGGCCAGUUUAUAUGACCAAAUCGUUUUUAAAGCUUGAAGUUUUGAUGAUGUGCCAUUCUCACUUCACGGCUUUUUUAAUACAGUGGCUUACACAAAACCUUUUGGCUGAUUAAAGAGGGAGAUAAUGUGUUAAUAAUGUCUACAGCUGGGAGAAAAAAAAACCUGAGAAAAAAAUGUAGAAAUUUAGAGCAUGUGAAUGAUUGUGUCAUCAUCUGAGAAGUGCCUUGGACAGUCAGUAGUCUUCAUCAAUGUUUGUGUAGCUGGCCAUUAUUUACUCCAGUGCUAUCAGUUGAAACUUGUUUUCUAGUAUUUUGUUUCAAACCACAGCAGUUCAAGCUCACAUUGAAGCUGCUGUAGAAGAACCAGAGCACAGCAUGCUCAGCAGCACAGAUGUGGGGGAUUUUCAUUCAUCACCCUUUCACUCCCCUUCUUUCUGUUCUCUUCUCUAAUGCUGUGAAGUGUUGAUUAUGUUUUUUACCGUUUGCACCACAUAUUUGACAUAUUUGCUAGGAUCCCUGGAAAGAUUCAGUACACUCGGUACAAUCAUCAGUAACGCGGUAAUUACAAUGCAUUCUUAAACCCAGAAUCAAGAUGUGGGUUUCCUAAAAAUUCAAAUUGCGAGAAGCCUGAAAAAAGAUCCAGCAUCCACAUAUAUUACGUCAUUUAUGGACUCAGCUUUGCGGGCAUUCUAUGAGCAGAGAGGAUGCAGCGGUAAUGACUCAAAUACUCCAGCUGUGUCCUGCGCGCGGCCGAUGUUAUAUUCACAAAAUCGCUCCACCAAAACUAAGUAAUUCAUUUGCGAUCGUUCAUAUCAGCCCAUAUUCUCUGGUACUUCACGUACUUUUCAGCUGAGUUCAUAAUCUGUGCCCCGGUGAUUUCAACUCAUUGCUGCUGGAGUGCAGUGCCUAUUGAGCUUUUUUUUUUUUUUUUGCGUUCAGUAGAUCCCUUUGGCUGAUUAGUUAGAAAGUAGGAAGUCUAGGAAUCAGUUUUUCUGGAAGACGGAGAAAACAUGCAGCAUGCAGGAAGGUUAGAGAGAGAAAGGGCAGGAAAUUAUUCAAAUAAAAUCAAGAAAAAAAAACUAUGUGCUUGAAAAGAAAAAAAAGUAGGUAGAUUUUAGGGAUGCACCGAUGGAUCGGCAUUUGAUCGUAAUCGGCCGAUAGCGCCCCUAUCGGUUUUGAUCGGAAUUUUCAAAAUAGAUCAAAGCAAACCGAUCAGGUAGGGUUGUCACGGUAACCAGUGUAGCGCUAAACCCCGGUAAAAAAACAAAGUUGACAAUAAUAACCGUCUUGUUUUUAAAAAAACUAUAUUAUCUUGGUGGGUUUACCGUGGCUGCGGUGUAGGCGCGGUGACCCUUACCAGCCACCGUAUCAUCUGCUGAAGUUGCCGGCGGUACAUGCACGCUUUGCUGUUUACAACUAGAGCUGAAACAACUAAUCGAUUUAAUCGAUUAUAAUCGAUUAUUAAAAUAGUUAACAACUUUUUUAGUCAUCGAUUAGUUGUUUAAUAAUCAUAUUUUACCGCAUAAAGUCUAUUUUUUACCACAAUCUGACAUCGGUUACAAUCUGUUAAAUUUGCCGCCAGUGUGUGGCAGUAAUGAGCCACUGAUCUACCAGUGGGGCCGUAGAAGAAGAAAUUAGCCAAUAAGUGCCCUCGAUUUUCAUGACGUAUCACGUUACUGACGCGCAUCUUGCUGUGAGAGAUGGCGGAUCAACAACAAAUACGGAAGAAAAAUAGAAGCGACAAAACAAGAAAAACCCCGGACAAAAACCUCACGAGUAUGGGAGCACUUCACUAGAUGCCUUGAAAAGACCGGUGACCUACAAAAUAUGCAAAAACCAUGGCACGACGGAAGCACGACGUCCCUAAGUGAACAUUUGAGACGAAAACGUGGGGGCUGAUGCAGCAGAGGAAUGUCCGAAAAAAACAAGCAACGAUGGACAACUACAUGGGGAACAAGACACUCACCCCCAGCAAUGCAUACCACUUACAAACUCUAUUCCAGAUUCUACAUUAUUUUUUAUGGAAUUUACCUCUUAUAUUUUGAUGCCAAAAAAUUAUUCUGGACUGAUAUUUUGCACUGUUUAGCUCAUUUUACACUGCUGACUGUGGUCAUGUGCAAUAAAAUAGAUUGCAGUCAACUGCACAAUUC